RNAcentral lists this ribosomal RNA (267 nucleotides) under Poa trivialis. RNAcentral describes it as "5.8S ribosomal RNA". The stretch from base 1 to 142 matches the Rfam family "5.8S ribosomal RNA". Rfam says of the family: 5.8S ribosomal RNA (5.8S rRNA) is a component of the large subunit of the eukaryotic ribosome. It is transcribed by RNA polymerase I as part of the 45S precursor that also contains 18S and 28S rRNA. Lineage: Eukaryota; Viridiplantae; Streptophyta; Magnoliopsida; Poales; Poaceae. The record is from RNAcentral.
GAUAUCUCGGCUCUCGCAUCGAUGAAGAACGUAGCGAAAUGCGAUACCUGGUGUGAAUUGCAGAAUCCCGCGAACCAUCGAGUCUUUGAACGCAAGUUGCGCCCGAGGCCUCUUGGCCAAGGGCACGCCUGCCUGGGCGUCACGCCAAACACGCUCCCACCCCUCAUCGGGUGGGAUGCGGCAUGUGGCCCCCCGCCUCGUAAGAGUCGGUGGGCCAAAGAUGUGGCUGCCGGCGUAUCGUUCCGGACACAGCGCGUGGUGGGCGAA